GUUGAACGCUGGCGGCAGGCCUAACACAUGCAAGUCGAACGGUAACAGGAAGAAUCUUGCUUCUUUGCUGGCGAGGGGCGGGCGGGUGAGACAUGUGUGGGAAACUCCCGGCUGGAGGGGGAUAACUACUGGAAACGGUAGCUACUACCGCAUAACGUCGCAAGCACAAAGGGGGGGGCCUUGGGGCGGCUUGCCAUCGGAUGUGCGCUGGUGGGAUGCGCUAGGAGGGGGGGUAAGGGCUCACCUUGGCGGCGGUGCGUAUCUGGUCGGAGGGGAUGAGCAGCCACACUGGAAGUGUGACACGCUCCAGACUCCUACGGGAGCCAGCCGUGGGGAAUAGUGCGCCAGGGGCGGAAGCCUGAUGCAGCCAGGCCGCGUGUAUGAGGAAGGCCUUCGGGUUGUAGAGUACGUUCAGCGGGGAGGAAGGGAGUUACGUUAAUACCGUUGCGCAUUGACGGUACCUGGAGAAGAAGCCCCGGCUAACUUCGUG
RNAcentral lists this ribosomal RNA (490 nucleotides) under uncultured bacterium. RNAcentral describes it as "partial 16S ribosomal RNA". It matches the Rfam family "Bacterial small subunit ribosomal RNA", at positions 28 to 507 of the family's 1533-position model. The record is from RNAcentral.